This is a non-coding RNA of Entelurus aequoreus (snake pipefish), 74 nucleotides long. Lineage: Eukaryota; Metazoa; Chordata; Actinopteri; Syngnathiformes; Syngnathidae. The record is from the annotation of a RefSeq genome assembly.
GGCUGGUUAACUCAGUUGGUCAGAGCAUGGUACUAAUAAUGCCAAGGUCAUGGGUUCAACCCCCUUAUCGGCCA